GUGACUGGCGACCGCUUCGAGUCGGAUUUUCACUUUGUGGCUCUUCCGGUAGGCAGCAGCUUUGCUGAUUUGUUCGCACUUCGGACGGCAAAAACUAGGACUGUCAGCCAACAUUAAAUCUUUCCGCUUGUGGUGCUAUUCAUUCCUGCCUGUCAUAUAAUGCGGAACAAGGAACCGGAAACAAGAGCGAGAUGGAUCUUAUUGUGUGGCGAAUUGACGAAACGCGUGUUUUGUUUCUCGUAAAACCAAGACCUGGCAAGUGAAAAGAAUCGGAGAAAAUCCGCAUAGCAGAACCUUAACAGUAGCAUAUAGCAGGAAUCUUAUUAUACGGAGAAAGAACAUCUAAACUACUUGCAAU
Aedes aegypti (yellow fever mosquito) is the source of this 358-nucleotide long non-coding RNA. RefSeq lists it as uncharacterized. The record is from RefSeq and is a predicted model, not a curated record. The transcript has 2 exons. NCBI's taxonomy places the organism in Eukaryota, Metazoa, Arthropoda, Insecta, Diptera, Culicidae.